UACGUAGGGUGCGAGCGUUGUCCGGAAUUAUUGGGCGUAAAGAGCUCGUAGGCGGUUCCGUAAGUCGAGUGUGAAAAAUCUGGGCUCAACCCAGUGGAGCACUCGAUACUGCGGUGACUAGAGUACGGUAGAGGAGUGUGGAAUUCCUGGUGUAGCGGUGAAAUGCGCAGAUAUCAGGAGGAACACCAACGGCGAAGGCAGCACUCUGGGCCGGUACUGACGCUGAGGAGCGAAAGCGUGGGGAGCAAACAGG
Molecule: ribosomal RNA, 253 nt
Filed under: uncultured bacterium
Lineage: Bacteria
Description: partial 16S ribosomal RNA
Rfam family: Bacterial small subunit ribosomal RNA
Source: RNAcentral